Molecule: ribosomal RNA, 496 nt
Filed under: uncultured bacterium
Lineage: Bacteria
Description: partial 16S ribosomal RNA
Rfam family: Bacterial small subunit ribosomal RNA
Source: RNAcentral
GAUGAACGCUAGCGGCAGGCCUAACACAUGCAAGUCGAGGGGUAGAGGUUGCUUGCAACCUUGAGACCGGCGCACGGGUGCGUAACGCGUAUGCAAUCUGCCUUGUACCGAGGGAUAGCCCAGAGAAAUUUGGAUUAAUACCUCAUAGUAUCUUUUCCCGGCAUCGGGAUAUUAUUAAAGUUCCAACGGUACAAGAUGAGCAUGCGUCCCAUUAGCUAGUUGGUAUGGUAACGGCAUACCAAGGCAAUGAUGGGUAGGGGUCCUGAGAGGGAGAUCCCCAACAAUGGUACUGAGACACGGACCAGACUCCUACGGGAGGCAGCAGUGAGGAAUAUUGGUCAAGGGGCGAAAGCCUGAACCAGCCAUGCCGCGUGCAGGAUGAAGCAUCUAUGGUGUGUAAACUGCUUUUAUACGGGAAGAAACACCGGUUCGUGAACCGGCUUGACGGUACCGUAAGAAUAAGGAUCGGCUAACUCCGUGCCAACAGCCGCCGUAA